Molecule: unclassified non-coding RNA, 156 nt
Filed under: plant metagenome
Description: partial contains internal transcribed spacer 2 and large subunit ribosomal RNA
Rfam family: 5.8S ribosomal RNA (bases 1-94)
About the family: 5.8S ribosomal RNA (5.8S rRNA) is a component of the large subunit of the eukaryotic ribosome. It is transcribed by RNA polymerase I as part of the 45S precursor that also contains 18S and 28S rRNA.
Source: RNAcentral
GAACUGCGAUAAGUAAUGUGAAUUGCAGAAUUCAGUGAAUCAUCGAGUCUUUGAACGCACAUUGCGCUUCUCGAGGCUGCGGCGGCCCGCGUCCAACAAGCUGAACCCCCCCGUCUUUGACCUCGGAUCAGGUAGGGAUACCCGCUGAACUUAAGC